Non-coding RNA from Pantherophis guttatus, 577 nucleotides. Lineage: Eukaryota; Metazoa; Chordata; Lepidosauria; Squamata; Colubridae. The record is from RefSeq and is a predicted model, not a curated record.
AAGCUCCUCCUUGCGGGCUUCACUGGACUCUUAGCCGAAGCGGAGCGUCCACUUUGAGGACGAAGGCGACGGAGGCAACACUGGUUAUUAUCUCACUGAAAAGGAUGCAGUGGAGAUGAAGGGACCAGACAAUUAGUACAUUUGAUGGAGGAAAAAUCAAAACAAGAACAGUCUAUAAAGACAUUGUUUUCUGUUAUACCUAUUAAGACCAAAUUGGAAAUUAUCACUGAAGAGAGGAGUCAUACAGAAGAUUUAUAUAGUGGAGUAUUGAUUCUGACUUUUUAUCAAGAAUGAUUAUACUACUCAGAUUCUUAGUUAUGCAAACAAUGGGUUGAAAUUUAAACUAAAAGAUCUUUUCAAAGACUUAAAAGGUUACAAAGCACUGAAAUACUUAGAACUAUUCUAAGGAAGGAACAAUGCAAAAAGAGCAAAAACAUCCAUUCUGAGUAUAAUAAUCUUGUAACAAUGAUACAGAUCAUAAAGAAAUGUUAACUUCUAGAAGUGUCCCAGUCAGUACUUUCAAGAAGUUUUCAUACUCUGCAUGUAAUUAUUGAUAUAAAAAGCCUGUUUUUCCUAA